Long non-coding RNA from Dicentrarchus labrax (European seabass), 5287 nucleotides. RefSeq lists it as uncharacterized. The transcript is spliced from 3 exons. The record is from RefSeq and is a predicted model, not a curated record. Lineage: Eukaryota; Metazoa; Chordata; Actinopteri; Moronidae.
GGUCACAGAGAGUCCAGUCCAGUCCCCUCCAGUUCAGUUAUCUUUAUGAUCCCAAAUGGGAAACUUGAUUUGCAGUCAGGGGCACAAACAAGGAAAACAAAAAACAACACAAACACAAAAAUGGUUCCUUCACAUAUAAGAUACAGUAAACAGUAAUAAACAACAUAUAAGAUACAGUAAACAGUAAUAAACAGCAUAUAAGACACAGUAAACGGUAAUAAACAACAUAUAAGAUACAAUAAACAGUAAUAAACAUAUAAGAUACAGUAAACAGUAAAAAACAACAUAUAAGAUACAGUAAACAGUAAUAAACAACAUAAGAUACAGUAAUAAACAUAUAAGAUACAGUAAACAGUAAUAAACAACAUAUAAAAACAGUAAUAGUAAAUAGUGAAAAGUAAAGAGUAAUAGUAAAUAGUAAACAGUAAUAAUGAACAGUAACAGUAAACGGUAAACAGUAAUAGUGAACAGUAAUAGUAAAUAGUGAACAGUAAACAGUAACAGUGAACAGUAACAGCAACAUUAAACAGUAAAAGUAACAGUAAACAGUAAAUAGUAAACAGUAACAGUAAAUAGUAAACAGUAACAGUAACAGUGAACAAUAAAUAGUCAACAGUAAAAGUAAAUAGUAAACAGUAAUAGUAAACAGUAACAGUAAACAGUAAAAGUAAAUAGUAAACAGUACUAGUAAACAGUAACAGUAACAGUGAACAAUAAAUAGUCAACAGUAAAAGUAAAUAGUAAACAGUAAUAGUAAACAGUAACAGUAAACAGUAAAAGUAAAUAGUAAACAGUACUAGUAAACAGUAACAGUAAUAGUAAACAGUAAUAGUGAACAGUAACAGUAAACAGUAACAGUGACAGUAAACGGUAACAGUAAUAGUGAACAGUAACAGUAUACAGUAACAGUGAGCAGUAACAGUAAACAGAAACAGUAACAGUAAACAGUAAACAGUAAACAGUAACAGUAAACAUAAACAGAAACAGUAAACAGAAACAGUAACAGUAUACAGUAACAGUAAACAGAAACAGUAACAGUAAACAGAAACAGUAACAGUAAACAUAAACAGUAACAGUAAACAGAAACAGUAACAGUAAACGGUAACAGUAAACAGUAACAGUAAACAGAAACAGUAACAGUAAACGGUAACAGUAAACAGUAACAGUAAACAGUAACAGUAAAUAGUAAACAGUAACAGUGAACAGUAACAGUGAACAGUAAAUAGUCAACAGUAAAAGUAAACAGUAAACAGUAAUAGUGAACAGUAAAAGUAAAUAGUAAACAGUAACAGUUAACAGUAAAUAGUAAACAGGAAACAGGAAACAGUAAAAUGAAAUAGUAAACAGUAACAGUGAACAGUAAAUAGUCAACAGUAAAAGUAAACAGUAAACAGUACUAGUAAACAGUAACAGUAAACAGUAACAGUAAUAGUGAAUAGUAAACAGUAACAGUAAACAGUAAGGAGUAAGGAGCUUGGUAACUGAAGGCUCUGGCUCCUGUUCUACUUUUAGAGACUAUAGGAACCACAAGUAGCCCAGCAUUCAGAGAACGUAGUGUUCUAGAGGGGUAAUAGGGUACUAUGAGCUCUUUAAGAUAUGAAGGGGCCUGACCAUGAAGAGCUUUAUAGGUGAGGAGGAGGAUUUUAAAUUCUAUUCUACAUUUUACAGGGAGCCAAUGCAGAGAAGCUAGUACAGGAGAGAUGUGAUCUCUUUUUCUAGUUCCUGUCAGUACUCGUGCUGCAGCGUUCUGAAUUAAUUGGAGCGUUUUAAUGGACUUAUUGGGGCAACCUGAUAAUAAAGAGUUGCAGUAAUCCAGCCUUGAAGUAACAAAUGCAUGGAUUAGUUUUUCUGCAUCUGUCUGUGAUAGGAUGUGUCUAAUUUAUGUAAUAUUACGUAAAUGAAAGAAGGCAGUCCUAGAGGUCUGCUUUAUGUGGUAGUUAAAUGACAAAUCCUGAUCAAAGAUAACUUGACUAACUGUAGUAUUUAUUGAAGAUUCAUCGUUAACAUGUACAAACUGCGAACGAUCUGACAAAUAUGACUUAAACCAGCUUAGUGCGGUUCCUUUAAUGCCAAUUUGAUGCUCAAGUCUCUGUAAAAGAAUAUUAUGGUCAAUGGUGUCAAAUGCAGCACUAAGAUCUAAUAAUACAAGUACAGAGACAAGUCCAUUGUCAGAAGCAGUCAGAAGGUCAUUAUUAACUUUAACCAGAGCUGUCUCUGUGCUGUGAUGAACUCUAAAUCCUGACUGAAAAUCCUCAAAUAAACUAUUGUUAUGUAGAAAGUCACACAACUCUUUGGCGACUACUUUCUCCAGAAUCUUAGAGAGGAACGGGAGGUUAGAAAUCGGUCUAUAGUUGGCUAAAACCCCUGGGUCAAGAGUGGACUUUUUAAGAAGGGGUUUAAUUACAGCUACUUUAAAGGACUGUGGUAAAUAUCCUGAUAAUAAAGAAAGAUUAAUCAUAUCCAGUAAAGAAGUGCCAAUUAAGGGAACAACUUCUUUAAGCAGCCUAGUUGGGAUCGGGUCUAAUAGACAGGUUGAUGGCUUCGAUGAAGAAAUGAUUGAAGUUAACUGAUGAAGAUCGAUAGCAGAAAAACAGUCUAAAUAUAUAUCUAAGUUUACAUUAGUAAAAGUCCCUGAACUUGGAGAGCCACUGAUAACCGUUGAUGGCAGUUGGUGAUUAAUUUUUUCUCUGAUAGUAAUAAUUUUAUUAUAGAAGAAGCUCAUGAAGUCAUUGCUACUUAAGUUUAUGGGGAUAUGUGGCUCAAUAGAGCUGUGACUCUCUGUCAGCCUGGCUACAGUGCUGAAGAGGAACCUAGGGUUGUUCUUAUUUCAUUCUAUUAGUGCUGAGUAAUAGGCUCCUCUGGCAUUACGGAGGGCCUUUCUAUAAAUUUUAAGAUUAUCUUGCCAAUUUGAGCGAUAUUCUGAUAAUUUGGAAGAGCGCCAUUUCCUUUCAGAUUUUCUAGCUAUUUGCUUUAACUGGCGGGUUUGGUGGUUAUACCAAGGUGCUAGUCUCCUAUGUUUUAAUAAUUUCCUUUUUAUAGGAGCGAUAGAGUCUAAUGUUGAUCGUAGUGAGCCUGUAGCACUAUCGACAAGAUUAUCAAUUUCAGAGGGACUAAAGUCGUUAUAGGACUCUGUUAAAUUCAGACAUGGCAUUGAAUUAAACACUGAAGGAAUCUCCUCCUUAAAUUUAGCUACAGCACCGUCAGAUAGACAUCUGCUGUAGGAAGUUUUGCCUAAUGGCUUAUAAUCUAAUAGUAUGAAUUCAAAAGUUAUUAAAUAAUGGUCAGAUAGGAAAGGAUUAUGUGGGAAGACUAUUAAAUGUUCAAUAUCAAUGCCAUAUGAUAGAACAAGGUCAAGAGUGUGAUUAAAACAAUGAGUUGGUUUAUUUACACUCUGACAGAAGCCAAUUGAGUCUAUCAAUGAUAUAAAUGCGUUACUAAGGCUGUCAUUGUUAACAUCCACAUGAAUAUUAAAAUCACCUACAAUAAUUACUUUAUCUGAUUUAAGGACUAAACUUGAUAAAAACUCUGAGAAUUCAGAUAUAAAAUCAGAGUACGGUCCAGGAGCGCGGUACACUAUAACAAAUAGAACUGGCUGCAGUGUUUUCCAGUUUGGGUGAGAAAGACUAAGAACAAGGCUUUCAAAUGAAUUAUAAUUUAGUUUAGGUUUAGGGUCCAUUAAAACGCUCGAAUCAUAUAUGGAUGCCACUGAAUGAAUGUGAGUAUUAAUAUGACUGGGGGGGGGUGGAUUCAUUUAGGCUAACAUACUCCUCGUGGGACAACCAGGUCUCAGUAAGACAAAGUAAAUCAAUAUCAUAAUCUGAUAUUAAUUAAUUUACUAAAACAGCUUUAGAGGACAGAGACCUGAUAUUUAACAGCCCACAUUUCAUUCUCUUAUUUUGUGCUACUGAGGAGUUGGUUUUAAUUUUUAUUAGGUUUUUAUGUUGAACUCCUCUUGUUUUUAUUUCUUUAAAUAAUUUAGGUGGUCGGGGGACAGACACAGUCUCUAUGGGGUUUUGGGUGGGUGACUGUUCUAAAGAAAGAGCAGAGAAGUGUGUAAGACAGCAGCUCUGCUUCCUGGUCCUAACUCUGGACUGUCAGGUUUUAGAGAUAAACUUCGCCAUAUUUCUAGAUAAGAGAGCCGCUCCAUCCAAAGUGGGAUGGAUGCCGUCUCUCCUAAUCAGACCAGGUUUUCCCCAAAAAGGCUUCCAGUUAUCAAUGAAGCCCACAUCGUUUGCUGGACACCACCUCGACAGCCAGCGGUGGAAUGACGACAUGUGGCUACAAUGUCAUCACUGGUCACAUUGGGGAGGGGUCCAGAGAAAACUACAGAGUCCGACAUUGUCUUAGCAUAAUUACACACCGACUCCACAUUUAUCUUAGUGACCUCCGAUUGGCGUAAACGGCCAACUUACCGCCGACGUGGAUAACAAUCUUACUGUAUUUACGUUUACCUUUAGCCAGCAGUUUUAAAUAUGAUUCAAUGUCGCCCGCUCUGGCCCCAGGGACACAUUUAACUAUGGCCGCUGGCUUCGCUAACUUCACGUUUCUGACUAUGGAGCUGCCAAUAACCAGAGUUGGUUCCUCAGUGGGUGUAUCGCUGAGUGGGGAAAAUGUAUUAGAAACAUGAAUGGGUUGGUGGUGACCUGUGGGCUUCGCCGUUUUAGUCUUCCUUCGCUCAGUCACCCAGCCUCCCUGUCUUCCCGGCUGCUCGGGAACUACCGGGGGAUCUACAUAUCUAACAGAAGCUACCUUCGGUCACGUGACCAAUCAAUGACCAUCUCUUUGGUCUUUGUUAAUUGGUGUGAUGAGGCCUUUCUUAAAUUAAACUCUCCCAGCCGUCCAGGCUCAGAUUCAUCUUUAUGGAGCAGACUGAUGGUAACAGGGUUUUAGGAUGUGCCUGUCCCCAUGCUGGUAAGGACAAUGUAAAGGGGACACGGACACAGCCCUGAAGAGAGCCAGUAGAAGAGGAGCGCUUACUCUCCCCCUCUGAGACCUGCAGCAUAAAGUCUACAAUCCAGACCACCAAGGUUUCAGCCAGAUUAAAAUCAAAAAGCAGUUCCUCAGCUCAAACAUGUGGCUGAAAAGGGUUGAAUUCAGAUGAGUUAAAAAUAAAAGUCACUAAGAGACAGAGAGGUCCGAGGUCAGAUGUUGAUAUUAAAGGAGGUGUCAGACAAUGAGGUAAACGUAUGUACCGAACAGUCACCUAUUAAGAUCAAUAAUGGUGAUUGGGUGUCUUGCUCACCCGUGUCCUGCUUAUUGUUUAUUAUUUACUGUUGUGGUUGUUGUU